This 253-nucleotide ribosomal RNA is filed under the name uncultured bacterium. Its description in RNAcentral is "partial 16S ribosomal RNA". It matches the Rfam family "Bacterial small subunit ribosomal RNA", at positions 524 to 776 of the family's 1533-position model. The record is from RNAcentral.
UACGUAGGGGGCAAGCGUUGACCGGAUUUAUUGGGCGUAAAGAGCGUGUAGGCGGCCUUACAGGUCAGCUGUGAAAACUCGAGGCUCAACCUCGAGACGUCGGUUGAAACCGUAAGGCUAGAGUCCGGAAGAGGAGAGUGGAAUUCCCGGUGUAGCGGUGAAAUGCGCAGAUAUCGGGAAGAACACCCGUGGCGAAGGCGGCUCUCUGGGACGGUACUGACGCUGAGACGCGAAAGCGUGGGGAGCGAACAGG